This is a long non-coding RNA of Cyprinus carpio carpio, 491 nucleotides long. The record is from Ensembl. Lineage: Eukaryota; Metazoa; Chordata; Actinopteri; Cypriniformes; Cyprinidae.
CAAAGAUUCAGGUCACCGAGACGGUUAGUUUUCGAUCGGUCACGUGACUCAACAUGCUGCCAUCAAGAGGAAUAAUCUCACAUAAACAGCUUUGAUCUCCAGUUUUCAAGUGUUCAUUUCUGGUAUAUAGUCCUGCUUCACGUUCCUGGCAGUCUUUGAGUCCCCAGAGUGAUGGUGUGAACCGGCACGGUGCACACAUGACAAAAGAAAGGCCUGUGGCCCACCUGAGUGUGAUUGAAAUCUCUCCUCUAUGGGAGACGGUGUCUCCUUGCCCUCCCAUAGAAUCAAUCUGUUUAUCUAAGGCCCGGUGCUCGUGACACAUACAUUUGCGUUGGUCAAAAUGAAAAGAAAGUGGGAAAGAGAGUGGGACUGGCCUCUCCAGAUGCCUGGCAGUGGCAUGGAACAAAUUAACAUAAAUGUCAUUGUCAGAAUGGAAUGAAGACAAAAUCUAGUCCUGCAAGCAAGCUGUGCUGCCAGCUGAUGACAAGGAG